Eriocheir sinensis (Chinese mitten crab) is the source of this 932-nucleotide long non-coding RNA. RefSeq lists it as uncharacterized. Lineage: Eukaryota; Metazoa; Arthropoda; Malacostraca; Decapoda; Varunidae. The transcript is spliced from 2 exons. The record is from RefSeq and is a predicted model, not a curated record.
GAUACUCGUCUUUAACCCGUCCGCUGCGAUUGAUACGGAUUUGGCCUUCACUGGUAGCCUGGUAACGUAUACUCCCAGGUCUUUCUCUGCCUCUGUGGUGGAUAGUGGAGUGUUUCCCAUGUGGUAUUGGUGUGCUGGAUAUCCCUUCACUGGUAGCCUGGUAACGUAUACUCCCAGGUCUUUCUCUGCCUCUGUGGUGGAUAGUGGAGUGUUUCCCAUGUGGUAUUGGUGUGCUGGAUAUCCCUUCACUGGUAGCCUGGUAACAUACACUCCCAGGUCUUUCUCUGCCUCUGUGGUGGAUAGUGGAGUGUUUCCCAUGUGGUAUUGGUGUGCUGGAUAUCCCUUCACUGGUAGCCUGGUAACAUACACUCCCAGGUCUUUCUCUGCCUCUGUGGUGGAUAGUGGAGUGUUUCCCAUGUGGUAUUGGUGUGCUGGAUAUCCCUUCACUGGUAGCCUGGUAACAUACACUCCCAGGUCUUUCUCUGCCUCUGUGGUGGAUAGUGGAGUGUUUCCCAUGUGGUAUUGGUGUGCUGGAUAUCCCUUCACUGGUAGCCUGGUAACAGUUAAGGGUAUUUACCUUACAAUGAUACUCCAUUCAGUUACAUGAGUUAAUCUACCUUCUUUCGGCAUUGUUUUUUCUCACAGAAUGUUGUAGGAGGUGGUUGCAUAUAAAGGGUUCUUGAAAUUAGACCUCUUUCUGUUGCAUAGUUUUUUAUUGUUAACAGAUAAGUCAUUUUGUCAGUACAGCAAUACGGUCGUUCCUCAAAUAGUACGGUUUCCAAUACAGUCCCUCAAAUAGUACAGUUUCCAAUACAGUCGCCCCUCAAAUAGUACAGUUUCCAAUACAGUCGCCCCUCAAAUAGUACAGUUUCCAAUACAGUCGCCCCUCAAAUAGUACAGUUUCCAAUACAGUCGCCCCUCAAAUAGUACAG